This 447-nucleotide ribosomal RNA is filed under the name uncultured bacterium. RNAcentral's name for it is "bacterial SSU rRNA". It matches the Rfam family "Bacterial small subunit ribosomal RNA", at positions 28 to 457 of the family's 1533-position model. The record is from RNAcentral.
GAUGAACGCUGGCGGCGUGCUUAACACAUGCAAGUCGAACGAAGCGCUUGGAUGGAAUUCUUCGGAAGGAAGCUCAAGUGACUGAGUGGCGGACGGGUGAGUAACGCGUGGGUAACCUGCCUCAUACAGGGGGAUAACAGUUAGAAAUGACUGCUAAUACCGCAUAAGCACACGUGAUCGCAUGAUCGAGUGUGAAAAACUCCGGUGGUAUGAGAUGGACCCGCGUCUGAUUAGCUAGUUGGUGGGGUAACGGCCCACCAAGGCGACGAUCAGUAGCCGGCCUGAGAGGGUGAACGGCCACAUUGGGACUGAGACACGGCCCAAACUCCUACGGGAGGCAGCAGUGGGGAAUAUUGCACAAUGGGGGAAACCCUGAUGCAGCGACGCCGCGUGAAGGAUGGAGUAUUUCGGUAUGUAAACUUCUAUCAGCAGGGAAGAAAAUGACGG